AUUGAACGCUGGCGGCAUGCCUUACACAUGCAAGUCGAACGGUAACAGGUCUUCGGAUGCUGACGAGUGGCGAACGGGUGAGUAAUACAUCGGAACGUGCCUAGUAGUGGGGGAUAACUACUCGAAAGAGUGGCUAAUACCACAUGAGAUCUACGGAUGAAAGCAGGGGAUCGCAAGACCUUGUGCUACUAGAGCGGCCGAUGGCAGAUUAGGUAGUUGGUGGGAUAAAAGCUUACCAAGCCGACGAUCUGUAGCUGGUCUGAGAGGACGAUCAGCCACCCUGGGACUGAGACACGGCCCAGACUCCUACGGGAGGCAGCAGUGGGGAAUUUUGGACAAUGGGCGAAAGCCUGACCCAGCAAUGCCGCGUGCAGGAUGAAGGCCUUCGGGUUGUAAACUGCUUUUGUACGGAACGAAAAGCCCCGGGUUAAUACCCUGGGGUCAUGACGGUACCGUAAGAAUAAGCACCGGCUAACUACGUGCCAGCAGCCGCAGUAA
Molecule: ribosomal RNA, 498 nt
Filed under: uncultured bacterium
Lineage: Bacteria
Description: partial 16S ribosomal RNA
Rfam family: Bacterial small subunit ribosomal RNA
Source: RNAcentral